This 336-nucleotide long non-coding RNA is filed under the name Homo sapiens (human). Its description in RNAcentral is "HSALNT0105513". Lineage: Eukaryota; Metazoa; Chordata; Mammalia; Primates; Hominidae. The record is from RNAcentral.
UUUACAGGCUGCACCAUUUCUUCUAAAGGGAGGAGAGUUUCUAAUACAUAUGAUGUUCAAUUUGAUUUUAUAUCCUUCCAAGUUCACUUUUUAAAAUAAUAAUCUCUGCCUGUUGUCCUUAAUUUAGAUCUACUUUUUGCCUAUUUUAAUACAAUAACAAGCGUUGCCCUCCAAAUGGCAGAAUUAGACUGUUUAUUGAAGUGCAUCAGCUGCCUGCCAUUUGAGCUAUGUUCUUAAUAGUUGUGCCACUAAGAUGUGAUUGUUUGCAUUGGUUGCUUUGGAUUCACUAGGAUAGAGGAGAGAGUGGUGGAAGGAUGACUUGAGCAUCAGGAAGUU